GGGCAGCCCAAGAAGGAACACAUGCACGCAGCCGAGUGAUAGCAACAAGGAGAGAGCAGAGCACCACACCGGUAGCACAUCUGACAACACUUCUGACAAUACCCCUCUCACCACCCACAGUCUGUACCAACACAGCUACCCACUGCCCCUCACACCACCUCAGCCUCUGCCCACACAGCUACCCAUUGCCCCCACCACCACUCCCAAACUCUGCCAACAUAGCUACCCACUGCCCCUCACACCACCCCUAAGCCCUAUCCACACAGCUAACCCACUGCCCCUCACACCAUGCCCAGCCUGUCCCCACACAACUACCCACUAUCCCUCCCACCACCCACAGCCUGUCCCCACACAGCUACUCACUGCCCCUCCCACCACCCACAGCCUGUCCCCACACAGCUACCCACUGCCCCUCCCACCACCCCCAAGCCCUAUCCACACAGCUAACCCACUGCCCCUCACACCACCCAUAAGCCCUAUCCACACAGCUAACUCACUGCCCUUCACACCACCCCCAUGUCCCCACACAGCUACCCACUGCCCCUCACACCACCCAUAAGCCCUAUCCACACAGCUAACUCACUGCCCUUCACACCACCCCAUGUCCCCACACAGCUACCCACUGCCCCUCACACCACCCAUAAGCCCUAUCCACACAGCUAACUCACUGCCCUUCACACCACCCCCAUGUCCCCACACAGCUACCCACUGCCCCUCACACCACCCAUAAGCUCUAUCCACACAGCUAACCCACUGCCCCUCAAUGAGCCAGGUCCUCCCC
Gopherus evgoodei (Goodes thornscrub tortoise) is the source of this 781-nucleotide long non-coding RNA. RefSeq lists it as uncharacterized. The record is from RefSeq and is a predicted model, not a curated record. NCBI's taxonomy places the organism in Eukaryota, Metazoa, Chordata, Testudines, Testudinidae. The transcript has 3 exons.